This 253-nucleotide ribosomal RNA is filed under the name uncultured bacterium. RNAcentral describes it as "partial 16S ribosomal RNA". It matches the Rfam family "Bacterial small subunit ribosomal RNA", at positions 524 to 776 of the family's 1533-position model. The record is from RNAcentral.
UACGGAGGGUGCGAGCGUUAUCCGGAAUUACUGGGCGUAAAGCGCGCGCAGGCGGCGGUGUAAGUCGGAUGUGAAAGCCCAGGGCUUAACCGGGGAACUUCAUUCGAAACUGCACGGCUAGAGUAUGGGAGAGGGAAGCGGAAUUUCAGGUGUAGCGGUGAAAUGCGUAGAUAUCGGAAGGAACACCAAUGGCGAAGGCAGCUUCCUGGGCCAACACUGACGCUCAUGCACGAAAGCGUGGGGAGCAAACAGG